Ailuropoda melanoleuca (giant panda) is the source of this 1185-nucleotide long non-coding RNA. RefSeq lists it as uncharacterized. Lineage: Eukaryota; Metazoa; Chordata; Mammalia; Carnivora; Ursidae. The transcript is spliced from 4 exons. The record is from RefSeq and is a predicted model, not a curated record.
GUUGCAGGGUGAAGUGACAGACAGAGCCUGACUGUCUGUGAAAAAAGGUAGACAUCCCGGAAAUCUCCAGUUCGGCUAAUGGCCUUUCCUCUGAGUUCCCGUCUGCUGUCAUGAUCAACACAGUGAAUGGUGCAGGAAGAUCUCCAUAUGUAACACACCUUUUAUUAUGGAAUUACUUCCAUUGUGGAAAUCACAUAGAUUCCUAGAAGUUACAAAAUGCAAUUUCAUUCAGGCUGGAAACACAGCUACCUGAUACUGGCACUGGAGAAGAGACCCUUCUCGGUAUGCUUCAGACUUGACUCAGCAACUGGCGUGCGCUGCCCACCUGCUGGCACAGUUAUAUACUCAUGGAAAAGAAGAUUCCAGGCUCACUCCCUCUCUCAGAGCAGCUCCUGAGAAGAUUGGAUUGUGUUUAGUCAGGUGCAUAUAGGACUAAUGCCCUGCCUAUUCUUCACAUAUCCUAAGAUAUUGUACUUUAGUUCUUUCAAAGGAAUUUGUAUAUCUAGGAAGUUUAAAAUGUACUUGGUAAGAUACUGCCUGUUUUCUAGUAAUGAGCUUGGUUAAUGCAAUUGUCUGAUGACACAUUUAGGCUUUCUAAUUGAAUUUUUGUACUGAUGUGGCUUGAAAAGGGUUUACUUGGUGUGUGUAUGUUUUGGACUCUAAUUUUAGUGAAUUACAUGGUAACGAGGAACAGAACUGGUACCUGCUGGCAAAUUCUCAAGGAGGGGAGCUACUCAGUGAUAGAACCAACCAGAUCACCUCUGAAUGCAUGAUUCUGAACAUCUAGAUGCCUGUUGUUUUGUUGUGUAUAUUUUAAUUUAAUACAACCUUUUGUGGGUUCGUUAAAAGCCUUCUCAAAAGUAACACUGAGAAAGCCACUACAGCAUACAUUAAAAAAAAGUGUGCUUUAGGCCAAAAUAAAAUUGUUACUUGGACUUGUAAAAUAAAAGCUAGACAAACUACAUGUAAGGAUAAAUUUCUGACUGGGAGACAGAGCCCAAACACCGAGCACUCUGCUAACAGACCUACAAUUGGUAAAAUUAUGCUCUUGUUUGGCACUGAUCAGACAGUCCCAAAAGUUGUACAGCCACAUAGUGGAAAUCGGACAUAAAACAGCCUUAGCCAUUGGGUGAUUUUUAUUACUUAUCCAAGUAAAAAAGCAUUUUUAUGGCAUGACAGACUGAA